AACGCACCUUGCGCCCCUUGGCUAUUCCGAAGGGCAUGCCUGUUUGAGUAUCAUGAACACCUCAACCCUCGUGGUUUACCACGAUCGGCUUGGACUUUGGAGGUUUUGCCGGCCCCUGUGGUCGGCUCCUCUCAAACGAAUCGGCUUACCAGUGUUUGGUGGCGUCGCAGGUGUGAUAAAUAUCUACGCUUGCGGCCGUCUGCCAUGUAACCUUCAGCGAUGAGGGUUUGCUGGGGGCUCACAGAUGUCUCUCCUGAGCGAAGACAGCUUUUUGAUCGUUCGAUCUCAAAUCAGGUAGGACUACCCGCUGAACUUAA
RNAcentral lists this ribosomal RNA (317 nucleotides) under uncultured Tomentella. Its description in RNAcentral is "eukaryotic LSU rRNA". The record is from RNAcentral. Lineage: Eukaryota; Fungi; Basidiomycota; Agaricomycetes; Thelephorales; Thelephoraceae.